RNAcentral lists this microRNA precursor (77 nucleotides) under Alligator mississippiensis (American alligator). Its description in RNAcentral is "mir-17 microRNA precursor family". It matches the Rfam family "mir-17 microRNA precursor family". From Rfam's summary of the family: This family represents the microRNA (miRNA) precursor mir-17, family, which includes mir-20, mir-91, and mir-103. miRNAs are transcribed as ~70nt precursors (modelled here) and subsequently processed by the Dicer enzyme to give a ~22nt product. In this case the mature sequence comes from the 3' arm of the precursor. RNAcentral also lists the same sequence under 2 other names. Lineage: Eukaryota; Metazoa; Chordata; Crocodylia; Alligatoridae. The record is from Rfam by way of RNAcentral.
UGUGUUGUGUAAAAGUGCUUACAGUGCAGGUAGUGUUUUGGUAUCUACUGCAGUAUAAGCACUUCUAGCAUUACCAU